AUAGCUCAGUUGGUAGAGCGCCUGUCUUACACACAGGUGGUCAUAGGUUCGAGUCCUGUU
RNAcentral lists this transfer RNA (60 nucleotides) under Parachlamydiales bacterium. RNAcentral describes it as "tRNA-Val". It matches the Rfam family "tRNA", at positions 7 to 64 of the family's 71-position model. From Rfam's summary of the family: Transfer RNA (tRNA) molecules are approximately 80 nucleotides in length. Their secondary structure includes four short double-helical elements and three loops (D, anti-codon, and T loops). Further hydrogen bonds mediate the characteristic L-shaped molecular structure. tRNAs have two regions of fundamental functional importance: the anti-codon, which is responsible for specific mRNA codon recognition, and the 3' end, to which the tRNAs corresponding amino acid is attached (by aminoacyl-tRNA synthetases). tRNAs cope with the degeneracy of the genetic code in two manners: having more than one tRNA (with a specific anti-codon) for a particular amino acid; and 'wobble' base-pairing, i.e. permitting non-standard base-pairing at the 3rd anti-codon position. Lineage: Bacteria; Pseudomonadati; Chlamydiota; Chlamydiia; Parachlamydiales. The record is from RNAcentral.